This 512-nucleotide ribosomal RNA is filed under the name uncultured bacterium. RNAcentral describes it as "partial 16S ribosomal RNA". It matches the Rfam family "Bacterial small subunit ribosomal RNA", at positions 28 to 507 of the family's 1533-position model. The record is from RNAcentral.
GAUGAACGCUGGCGGCGUGCCUAAUACAUGCAAGUCGAACGAAACUUCUUUAUCACCGAGUGCUUGCACUCACCGAUAAAGAGUUGAGUGGCGAACGGGUGAGUAACACGUGGGCAACCUGCCCAAAAGAGGGGGAUAACACUUGGAAACAGGUGCUAAUACCGCAUAACCAUAGUUACCGCAUGGUAACUAUGUAAAAGGUGGCUAUACUACCGCUUUUGGAUGGGCCCGCGGCGCAUUAGCUAGUUGGUAGGGUAAAGGCUUACCAAGGCAAUGAUGCGUAGCCGAAUUGAGAGGUUGAUCGGCCACAUUGGAACUGAGACACGGCCCAGACUCCUACGGGAGGCAGCAGUAGGGAAUCUUCCACAAUGGGCGAAAGCCUGAUGGAGCAACGCCGCGUGGGUGAAGAAGGUCUUCGGAUCGUAAAACCCUGUUGUUAGGGAAGAAAGUGCGUGAGAGUAACUGUUCACGUUUCGACGGUACCUAACCAGAAAGCCACGGCUAACUACGUG